UACGAAGGGGGCUAGCGUUGCUCGGAAUCACUGGGCGUAAAGCGCACGUAGGCGGCUUUCUAAGUCAGGGGUGAAAUCCUGGAGCUCAACUCCAGAACUGCCUUUGAUACUGGAGAGCUUGAGUCCGGAAGAGGUGAGUGGAACUCCGAGUGUAGAGGUGAAAUUCGUAGAUAUUCGGACGAACACCAGUGGCGAAGGCGGCUCACUGGUCCGGUACUGACGCUGAGGUGCGAAAGCGUGGGGAGCAAACAGG
Molecule: ribosomal RNA, 253 nt
Filed under: uncultured bacterium
Lineage: Bacteria
Description: partial 16S ribosomal RNA
Rfam family: Bacterial small subunit ribosomal RNA
Source: RNAcentral